Molecule: ribosomal RNA, 512 nt
Filed under: uncultured bacterium
Lineage: Bacteria
Description: partial 16S ribosomal RNA
Rfam family: Bacterial small subunit ribosomal RNA
Source: RNAcentral
GAUGAACGCUGGCGGCGUGCCUAAUACAUGCAAGUCGAACGAAACUUCUUUAUCACCGAGUGCUUGCACUCACCGAUAAAGAGUCGAGUGGCGAACGGGUGAGUAACACGUGGGCAACCUGCCCAAAAGAGGGGGAUAACACUUGGAAACAGGUGCUAAUACCGCAUAACCAUAGUUACCGCAUGGUAACUAUGUAAAAGGUGGCUAUACUACCGCUUUUGGAUGGGCCCGCGGCGCAUUAGCUAGUUGGUAGGGUAAAGGCUUACCAAGGCAAUGAUGCGUAGCCGAAUUGAGAGGUUGAUCGGCCACAUUGGGACUGAGACACGGCCCAAACUCCUACGGGAGGCAGCAGUAGGGAAUCUUCCACAAUGGGCGAAAGCCUGAUGGAGCAACGCCGCGUGGGUGAAGAAGGUCUUCGGAUCGUAAAACCCUGUUGUUAGAGAAGAAAGUGCGUGAGAGUAACUGUUCACGUUUCGACGGUAUCUAACCAGAAAGCCACGGCUAACUACGUG